CACAUCUUUAGGUAAGUAUAGGCAUAGCAAUUAUAACAUUUUGUUUUCAGGUUAAGAGGUAAGAUAGCUUCAUUGUACUAACAUUGUCUGUUAAAUAUUUACUUAUUUAUAUCAAUUCAUAGUGUACAGUAUGUAGUGCAUGACAGGAUGCAUAGUUUGUGUUGAAUUGUAAACACGUUACAAAGUACACACCGUAUUAUACACACCCUAUUACCAGAUAUCGCUACUGCCGAUUCAACACAAAUUAAUGUCUUUUACAUGCGAUUUUAAAAUUCCUUGUAUUACAAUUUGAAAUGGAGAACAAAAUCUACUGUUCACCAUUAAAUUAUGUUGAAAAACAAUUGGGACAAAAGUCAUAUAAUUUCAGCCAAAAUGAUAACUGGUAAUAUGAGUGAGCUACUGAGUUGUUAUGUUUUAAUAGAAAUAACAAUUUUGCAGAAAACAUGCUUCGCCUAUAACAUAUGCAUUAGAAAGCCUUUUAUUCUAUAUUUCAUCUAUAUUUCAUUCAAUUCUUUUUCCAAAAUAGAAAAAAAGUCUUUUUAUUUCAGGACUGGGGUCUGAUUAGUUUCCAUCAUAAAUGACUGGUUUCUACAUAUACUUGAAUUGCACGACAACAGAAGUGGACCAAUAAAGGCAUGGAUGGGUAUUCUACUCCAUUUCAAAAUUGCUGAAAAUGCUUGAAGAAAGCAUGACAGCAUUACAAAUGCAGUGGGUGCAAUUGCAAGACUGUUGGUUAACAACAAUAGAUCCAAUAACUCAAACAAUUACCUUGAAG
Molecule: long non-coding RNA, 775 nt
Filed under: Mytilus galloprovincialis (Mediterranean mussel)
Lineage: Eukaryota; Metazoa; Mollusca; Bivalvia; Mytilida; Mytilidae
Source: RNAcentral